RNAcentral lists this unclassified non-coding RNA (208 nucleotides) under plant metagenome. Its description in RNAcentral is "partial contains small subunit ribosomal RNA and internal transcribed spacer 1". The stretch from base 1 to 46 matches the Rfam family "Eukaryotic small subunit ribosomal RNA", at positions 1786 to 1831 of the family's 1831-position model. The record is from RNAcentral.
AAGUCGUAACAAGGUUUCCGUAGGUGAACCUGCGGAAGGAUCAUUACAAAAUACCUACGCCGGCCCCCCGGGGCUGCGCGUUUCUAUUUACACCCUUUGCCUAUGCGUACCCUUAUCGCUUCCUCGGCAGGCUCGCCUGCCGCCAGGAACCCCUUAAACCCUUGCAAUUAUGAAAGAAAACUUCUGAUACCAACCUAAAUUAUUACAA